UCGGGACGGGGCUGGUUUGUGGGAUUUCGGCAUCCCCCUGGAUUUGGGGACGUGCUGAUCCCAAUGGGAAUGGUUUGGGAUGGGUUUUUUUGGGAUUUGUGUGUCCCCUCUGCAUUUGGGGACAUGCUGAUCCCAAUGGGAAUGGUUUGGGAUGGGGUUUUUUCGGGAUUUGUGCGUCCCCUGUGGAUUUGGGGACGUGCUGAUCCCAAUGGGAAUGGUCAGGAUGGGGCUGGUUUGGGAUUUGUGUGUCCCCUGUGGAUUUGGGGACACGUGGAUCCCAAUGGGAAUGGUUUGGGAUGGGGCUGUUUUUGGGAUUUACGCAUCCCCCUGGAUUUGGGAACACACAGAUCCCAAUGGGAAUGGUUUUGGACAGGGGCUCUUUUUGGGGUUUUACACAUCCCCCUGGAUUUGGGAACACGCAGAUCCCAAUGGGAAUGGUUUNGAUGCCAGAAUUUCUCCUUCCCUCCCUCCGGCCCAUCCUGGUUUUCCAGCCGGGAAUUCCAGCGGGAAAAGCUCUCCCACCCGGGAAUUUGGGAAUUCCGAUUUAUUGUGGGUGGAAUUCCCGGUGGGAAAAUCGGGAACGUGGGGAGAGGGAGCCCACAGAGGAGUCGGCACACAAGGGGUUAAUCCCAGCUUCUGUUUUUCCAGGAUUUUUGUUUUUUUUUUGAGGAAUUUCCCAAACGGAUGAGGGAGCAGCGAGGUGUCCCAAAAAAUCGAAUUUUGGGGCGCUUAGCACUUUUUGGGUGUUCCAAAUCCCUCCAGGAUUCCAUUUUUCAGCCUCUCAUCCCCAAAAAUCCCUGGAAAAACAGAACGGAGGGUCCUGGCCCGGGUUAAUGAACAGCAAUUAAGGGUUAAUGAAGGGCUGGAGGGGCGAUGAAACCUCUGGAAUUCCGCUGGAAUUCCUGGGGCACAAAGGGAAGAGCUCUGAGCAAAGCCCAGCCCGGGAUGCAGAGAAUUCCUGGAAGGAAAAUUGAAAUUAUUCCAAAUCUGUCCAGGGAUCCCAAGGUGAAACAGCCCAGGAAAUUUGGAACGGGGAGUUUUUUUGGAUUUUAUUGGGAUCGCAGCCAGGAAAACCAGGGGAAAAAAAAGGAAGAAAAGCCAUUCCCAGGGCCAGGAACGUCCUGCAUUUUAGGGAAUCCUGGAAUAAUUUGGCUUGGAAAGAGCUGACACGUCCCAACUCCAUUGGCAGGGACACUCACAUUAUCCCAAGCUGGAGUUUUGAGGAAUUUAAAGGAAUUUUAAGGAAUUAUUUAAAGGAAUUUUAAGGAAUUAAUGCUUUUUUCCCAGGCCCAUUUCCUUGGAUCAUCCUGGCGGGCGAUCCUAUCAUGUGGAAAUGAAGGAAUCUUCAGGAAUUUUGAGAAAUUUUCAGGGACUUCAAAGGUCUUCCAGGAAUUUUCAGGAUUUUUUUCAGUAAUUUUAAGGGAUUUUAAGGAAUCUUCGGGAAUUUUAAAGGAAUUUAAAGCAUUUUAAGGCAUCUCAAGGAUUUUUCAGGGUUUUUUCCCCAUGUUGAUCCAAAAUCCAGCGUUUUCUGGGAUGUGGCUGUGGGGAAGGCCUCGAUCCACUGGGAUCCAAAGGGACCCAUCCCAAACCCAGGGAACAGAGAAAUAAAUCCAGGGUCUGGGAACCCCA
Long non-coding RNA from Zonotrichia albicollis (white-throated sparrow), 1629 nucleotides. The record is from Ensembl. NCBI's taxonomy places the organism in Eukaryota, Metazoa, Chordata, Aves, Passeriformes, Passerellidae.